Non-coding RNA from Vicia faba (fava bean), 201 nucleotides. The record is from the annotation of a GenBank genome assembly. NCBI's taxonomy places the organism in Eukaryota, Viridiplantae, Streptophyta, Magnoliopsida, Fabales, Fabaceae.
AUGAAAGAGGCUGAAGAUAAUUACCUAUUAGAGACGGUCUGGUGCCUUUUCGAUUGCGAUAACGAUGAGAAUCCAGAGAAAGAUAUACUCAGGUUCAGUGCACCUUUGGAUUUUCACAUGGUGUUGGCAAUUUUGCAUACAUGGAGACAAGAUGAUCAUGAAGGCAAGAUGAUGAAGAUGGAAUUUAGUGUAAAAGAAUAA